This is a long non-coding RNA of Ipomoea nil (Japanese morning glory), 613 nucleotides long. RefSeq lists it as uncharacterized. Lineage: Eukaryota; Viridiplantae; Streptophyta; Magnoliopsida; Solanales; Convolvulaceae. The transcript has 3 exons. The record is from RefSeq and is a predicted model, not a curated record.
UUUUCUUUUUUUCCCGUUCAUAAUGAUGGGUUUCCUAUUCAUUGCUUGCAUUAUCUCGUGAAUUUUAAGCUAGAAGUGAUAGCUUAGCUUGCUUUAUGGGUUAGGCAUGCAUUUGCGGUGGCUGUGAGAUAAUAAACAGUACAGUAAUGGCGGAUGGAUGGGAAAGAGAAAGCCAAAAAGGGGUUUGGAUUGUUGUUAGUUGGGCACAAGCUUUGGGCAGUUUACAUAGAGGCAAUUGCAAUGGUGGAAGAGUAUUAGCAUUCAGCAAGCUCUUUCUGUAGAUGGUGGCGUUCGAGAUGUUAAGGCUCAUUACCCUCAGCUCAGUUUGAAAAACCUUCCUCAGGAUUAGAUUUUCCAGUACAUAUGGAGAUUUGUGUACUCUAUGUUUUCCCUUUUUAAAUUUUCCAGUAAUUUGUACCAUGGAAAACUUGUGGGAGAGAGUUUCUUGGGAAAGAAAAGGCCAGUUUAUGAGUGUAGCGGUGUGCAGGUAUUCUCUCCUAACCUUUCUACCCGAGUCAUGAACGCCACCCCUGUGUUUUUCCCCUUUGUUCAUAAGGCUGUUAACUGUUGACCAUUUUUCUGAGUUUGUCUUAUGACAUCAAUGGGGUUUGCA